This is a non-coding RNA of Notechis scutatus (mainland tiger snake), 407 nucleotides long. Lineage: Eukaryota; Metazoa; Chordata; Lepidosauria; Squamata; Elapidae. The record is from RefSeq and is a predicted model, not a curated record.
UCGUUGCUGGAGCAACAGAGCAUUAUCGAAAAAGGAGAAGAAAACUGUGGCCAUCUUAUUGAAGCUCACAAGGAGUGCAUGAGAGCUUUGGGUUUUAAGAUAUGAACAAGAUGAGUCAUAUAUUGGAAUCUUUCAUAGGUGAUUUACUGUGGAUAAUUGGAAACUUUACUUCCACAACUGGUUGAAUUGCUUUUUGAUGUUUUUUAUGAGAAGAUGGGGAAAAAUAUUUAAUAUAAGUUUUAAAAUCACAACAAUAUAUUGCCUUAAUCUAUACCUUGGAUUUGAGAAAUUGUGACAAUAAAUUAUUCUUAGUAUUUAAAGUUCUAAUUUAAACAGAGGAUUGUUUCUUUCCUGUACAUAAAAUAUUAUGAAUGCAAGCAAUAAAGCAAUUUGAUCUGAAUACAGGU